AUGACCAGCAGCACGAGCCAUCAGAAUCCAGUGUGCCAGGAGCAGAACUGGUGGUUUAAGAUUAAGCUCAGAUCUGUCUGCACAGCCAGCUGUUACGUUAAGAGAAAUGUCCUAACCCUGCCAAGGAGCCAGGUGCUGAGGCUGCAAGGUGUUGAGACUUCCACUAGAGGGGAAGGUGACCUCACUGGCUCAGUCUCCCCUCAUUCCUUCCGACUUGCUGAUUAUUGUAAGGUCCUGUAUGACUGUGUGAAUUAUGGAGGAAGCCAAAGAAACCUCAUCUUUGGAAAAGGCACUAAACUCUCUGUUAAACCAAAUAUCCAAGGCUCUGACCCUGCUGUGUACCAGCUGAGAGGCUCUAAGUCCAGCAACAUUUCUGUCUGCCUGUUCACCGAUUUUAAUUCUAGCCUCAGUGUGACAAAAACCUCAGAGCCCUCAGUGUUCUUCACAGACAAAACUGCAGUGGACAUGAAGGCCAUAGGGUCCAGGAGCAAUGGGGCCCUGGCCUGGAGUAACAACAAGAAUUUUGCAUGUAAUGAAACCUUCUACCAAGGCAGCUUCUACUCUAGCUCAGGAAUUGUCUGUGAUGCCACGUUGAUGGAGAAAAGCUUUGAAACAGAUAUGAACCUAAACUUUCAAAACCUGUCUGUGAUCGGGCUCCGCAUACUUCUCCUGAAAGUGGUUGCAUUUAACCUGCUCAUGACUCUGCAGCUAUGGUCCAGCUGAGGUCACCAAGACUGUAGGAAAUCCCAUGCUCCCUCGCUGCUUCUCCUUGUCGUCCAUCCUCUCCCUCUUCAAGCAGAGAAGCGAACUCUCUGCCCUCCAUGGAAGAGAAGGCUCCCACUGACUCUCUGGCCUCACCUGGCAAUGCCACCAACUGGAUCCUACCCAGCACUGG
Molecule: non-coding RNA, 895 nt
Organism: Trichechus manatus latirostris (Florida manatee)
Lineage: Eukaryota; Metazoa; Chordata; Mammalia; Sirenia; Trichechidae
Source: the annotation of a RefSeq genome assembly